This 1673-nucleotide ribosomal RNA is filed under the name Strongylostoma sp. c YC-2021. Its description in RNAcentral is "partial large subunit ribosomal RNA". It matches the Rfam family "Eukaryotic large subunit ribosomal RNA", at positions 45 to 1476 of the family's 3401-position model. The record is from RNAcentral. Lineage: Eukaryota; Metazoa; Platyhelminthes; Rhabdocoela; Typhloplanidae.
AAAAAACGGGAAGAAAGAACUAACAAGGAUUCCCUUAGUAGCGGCGAGCGAAGAGGGAGUAGCCCAUAACCGAAUCGCAUGGCGUGAUGUCAUUGCGAAAUGUGGUGUUGGGGUAGUUUUAUGUGGCAUGUUUCUGUGAUAUCCUAAGUCCACGUGAUUGUGGCUCAUUCCCCAGAGAGGGUGUAAGGCCCGUUAGGAUGUGAGACAUGUUGCGCGAAACUACUCAAGAGUCGGUUUGCUUGGGAAUGCAGACCUAAUCGGGUGGUAAACUCCAUCCAAGGCUACAUAUAACACGAGUCCGAUAGCGAACAAGUACUGUGAAGGAAAGUUGAAAAGAACUUUGAAGAGAGAGUUCAAUAGUGCGUGAAACUGUCCAGAGGUAAGCGGGUGGAGCUGAAGGAGGCAUGUGAGUUGAUGUUUUCUGACUUGCCUAUGGCUUGUUUAGUGUAUCCGUUUGUGAGGAGCACUGGCGAGUUGUGGUGUGAGUUGGUUGGCUGUUUACCGCAUGCUGUCACCACGAUCGGCGAUGAGUUGUUUUGUUGCAUGUGGGAAAGGUAGGGUUGUUCUCUUCGGAGGAUGACCUGUUAUAGUCCCUAGCGGCAGAGUGAUUUGUUGCUGAGUAUGGCGAGGUUAGUCACCAUUUUUACGUGUGGCGUACAUAGGUGCUUGCGUUGAUGCCCUUGAUGAUACACUCCAUUUGUUGCGAGUGUGUUGUUGAGUUGUGUGUUGAUGCUGAGUGCUUCCCUGUGCAUAAUCUCAACAAUCUGUGGUGUUUGUAGGCCAUCCACCUGUCCCGUCUUGAAACACGGACCAAGGAGUGUAACAUGUACGCGAGUCAUUGGGUGUUACGAAACCUAAAGGCGCAGUGAAAGUAAAGGUCUCCAUUGUGUGAGGCUGAGGUGAGAUCUGUGUGCUUACGAGCGUGCAGCGCAUCACCGGCUCAUCCUAUACCUUUUAGGUGGGGUGAAGCUUGAGCGUACAUGCUGCGACCCGAAAGAUGGUGAACUAUGCUUGCGUAGGUUGAAGCCAGAGGAAACUCUGGUGGAAGACCGUAGCGAUUCUGACGUGCAAAUCGAUCGUCAAACGUGAGUAUAGGGGCGAAAGACUAAUCGAACCAUCUAGUAGCUGGUUCCCCCCGAAGUUUCCCUCAGGAUAGCUGGCACUCAUGGAAAGCAGUUUCAUCCGGUAAAGCGAAUGAUUAGAAGUAUUGGGGGCGAAAUGCCCUCAACUUAUUCUCAAACUUGAAAUGGGUGAGCGGCCUGUCUCUCUUAAAUGGAGAUGGGUUUGUAUAACUGAAUGUGAGUGCCCAGUGGGCCAUUUUUGGUAAGCAGAACUGGCGAUGCGGGAUGAACCGAACGUUACUGUUAAGGUGCCUAACAUGACGCUCAUGAGAUUCCACAAAAGGUGUUGGUUGAUAUAGACAGCAGGACGGUGGCCAUGGAAGUCGGAAUCCGCUAAGGAGUGUGUAACAACUCACCUGCCGAAUCAACCAGCCCUGAAAAUGGAUGGCGCUGGAGCGACAGACCUAUACAGUACUGUCAAAGCAAGCUAACCCACAGCGUGGAAGCUUUGACAAGUAGGGGGGCGACGCGGUAAGCAUAGAAGCCACGGCCGUGAGGCUGGGUGGAGCUGCCGUGUGUGCAGAUCUUGGUGGUAGUAGCAAAGUAUCAAAA